RNAcentral lists this ribosomal RNA (492 nucleotides) under uncultured bacterium. RNAcentral describes it as "partial 16S ribosomal RNA". It matches the Rfam family "Bacterial small subunit ribosomal RNA", at positions 29 to 507 of the family's 1533-position model. The record is from RNAcentral.
AGUGAACGCUGGCGGUAGGCCUAACGCAUGCAAGUCGAACGGCAGCACAGUAAGAGCUUGCUCUUACGGGUGGCGGGUGGCGGACGGGUGAGGAAUACAUCGGAAUCUACUUUUUCGUGGGGGAUAACGUAGGGAAACUUACGCUAAUACCGCAUACGACCUACGGGUGAAAGCAGGGGAUCUUCGGACCUUGCGCGAUUGAAUGAGCCGAUGUCGGAUUAGCUAGUUGGCGGGGUAAAGGCCCACCAAGGCGACGAUCCGUAGCUGGUCUGAGAGGAUGAUCAGCCACACUGGAACUGAGACACGGUCCAGACUCCUACGGGAGGCAGCAGUGGGGAAUAUUGGACAAUGGGCGCAAGCCUGAUCCAGCCAUACCGCGUGGGUGAAGAAGGCCUUCGGGUUGUAAAGCCCUUUUGUUGGGAAAGAAAAGCAGCAGGUUAAUACCCCGCUGUUCUGACGGUACCCAAAGAAUAAGCACCGGCUAACUUCGUG